Molecule: long non-coding RNA, 2465 nt
Filed under: Homo sapiens (human)
Lineage: Eukaryota; Metazoa; Chordata; Mammalia; Primates; Hominidae
Description: HSALNT0380372
Source: RNAcentral
UUUUUUUUUUUGAAUGAGAAAACAUUUAUUCCAUCUCCAAACAGCAUCCCAGGGCCGGGCAUCUCCCCUACGACUUUAUAAUACACUCGGCACAGACAGAGUUUGGGAGCCAUGGGACACCUCUGCCCUCCCCAGGCUUCCUAAGUAACAACUGCAGAAUAUUUACAUAAAGCUGGGUGUUGUCAGGCAAAGCCAUUCCCUGCUGCCAGGGGUGGGAGCAAGAAGGAAGUGCCAUGAGCACCAGCCCCGCCUUCACACCGUGGGAGGCAGCCCAGAGGCCACCGGCACAGGGUGGUGGCCCCCAGAUCAUACAGCAGUGGACACAGGGGAAGCAAACCUGAGUGAGGACACAAGAGCCUGGUCCGGCUCCGCUGCACAGGGUAGGUGUGACGGCCCCCACGAGUCUUUGGCAGAGAACGCAGGUAACAGCGGCUCCCACGGCCGGACCCGGGCCGGGGGGAAGCUGAGGCACUUGUCAGUAGCACAUGGGUGCCUGCUGGCUUCUAGCCACUCCAGGCGGGGAUGGGGUCAUUAAAAGCAAGGAAAAACACUAGCUAAAAACCCUUUCCUAAAAGUGCCCUGGAGGAGUGAGCGGCUGACUGAAGCCCUCUGGGCACAGGCACGUGGGGUGUGGCUCGGCCAGCCCCCGCCGGGCUGUAAGGCUCCUUAGCUGUGUGUCAGCUGCACAGGAUGGAACAGAGAAACAUAAUUGAGGUGGAAGGAUCCAGAAGAAAGGAACCAGUGAUGAUGAGGACAGAGGGCUCUCCACGGGAAGGUGGGAGAGAAUUUAGUUCUCUGUGCCGUGAAGAUGGGAUUGGAGCCAUACAUUGGAGAUGAAGAGAGUCCUUCCAUCCAUCUGCUGGACCUGCUGGGCCUCAGGGCUUUCUCUGAAGUGGUAGGGGGAAGAUGUCACAGAGGAAAUGUAAAGAAAAGUCUACCUCGGCAGUCUACAGCGUGGUGGAUAAAAAAAGAGCAGGAAGAGUCUGGCGAGGCGAUCAGCCUGAUGUAGGUGCUGAGUGUCCCUCACAAAGUCCCAGCAUGAAAGGGGUGGCUGAGAGCCGCUGGGUGGGCCCCAAGUCCAUGGUGCUAGAGCGAGGUCAGGCUGAGGCAGGGCUGGAGGUGGUUGCAUGGAUGGCACUACAGGCACUUAGAGGGGUCUAAUCUGGGUCCAUUGGGGGCUAUGCCCCACAAGAGUGGUUCCUGUGCCCACGGGUCCCACCAUGAACCCCCCAGCCCCAGGCCUGAGCUCAUAAGUAAGCAGGGAGUCCAGAAGCCAAGCAGCCAAGGGCGUCCCUGACACCCAAAGCAAUGCCACCACAUACAAGGAUAGCCAGACGGAUCCAAGCUGAGGGCUGGACAGUGCCCACGGAGCCAUUUAAAGUCUUGUGUAUGUCUUUUUUUCCUCGUUUUUAAUUUCAUUUGACACUUAUGUACAAUAAAGUAUUGUGUAUGUCUAAAGCUUAAAUCAGGUGGGCCAUUUCCAUUUUCCUGGGUUCUGUUGGUUUGUUUGCUUUGUUUUCCUGCUGGUAAUAGGUAGUACCUGAGGAAGGCAAGAAAGGAUAUAAAGAAAAUAAGAAACAACACUUUCUCUGCACAUCCAAAUUGUGGCAAGGAUUUUUGCAGAUUGCCACCAGUUCACUGAGAGGAGUCAUUGAAAACAUGGCAUUGAGGACAGAGACUGCCACUUCAGAAUUUUCUACAUCCAACUGCUGAAGCCACUCGAAGAUAUUUCCCUCAGAGAACCAUAACCAGCUUUGGAGAAGAUGCUUCCACAUAGCUUGUUUCACAGCAUCUCAUCUCUCAUUAAAACCUUGUUGAGGGAGCAUUACUGUCUGAGCAAUGGACAUAGCUCUCAUACGAACCUUUUCAGCUAACACCGGAUAAGCCAGCUUUCUGACAGCCUCUUUCACAUCCUUGGUGCACCCUACAAUUUUUGGCAAAGUCUUUGCUGAUGGUGCAAUACAUGAUAACACUGCCUGUCUAAGUUCUGGAUUCAAAUCAAUCAUUUUCGAUCAAAGUAGCAUAUGCAUUAACCACUGGGCAUUCAUCAUCCUUUGGAUCCUGAAGUCGUGAAAGCGCCAGAACUGCCUGUAUUCUCACAUUUGGAAUCUUAUCUUUCAGUCUAAUAAGCAUGGCUUCAUUAAUUUUGUCAAACACACCAUCAUCAAUCUGAGCUUCUUCUGGCAUACUUCUCAAAAGCUUGUUUAUGCAGCUCCUGGUUCUUGAACUAACGUAGGCAUCAGCACAGCUGAUUCUCAUUCAGGAGAAGACAGUGCUGUGCCCAGGGGCCCCUGAGCCAUUGCCCAGCUUUCCAGCUUUCCAGGAAGUCUGCACUGGAGAAGCAUUCAACCUCCUCUGAGCUAACAUUUUCAUGUGCACACGUGAUUAUGAGUGUGAUACAGACAUUAUUUUACUUGUGUAACUAAUUUUUAAAUCAGACUAAUAAAAAAAGUUAUCAGUCUAAA